This 67-nucleotide transfer RNA is filed under the name Marmota monax (woodchuck). RNAcentral's name for it is "tRNA.Ala". The record is from RNAcentral. Lineage: Eukaryota; Metazoa; Chordata; Mammalia; Rodentia; Sciuridae.
GGAUUGUGGCUCAGAGGUAGAGCGCUCGCCUAGCCCGGGCGGGACCCGGGUUCAAUCCUCAGCACCA